This 68-nucleotide transfer RNA is filed under the name Marmota monax (woodchuck). RNAcentral's name for it is "tRNA.Ala". Lineage: Eukaryota; Metazoa; Chordata; Mammalia; Rodentia; Sciuridae. The record is from RNAcentral.
GGAUUGUGGCUCAGAGGUAGAGCGCUGGCCUAGCACAUGUGAGGCUCUGAGUUCGAUCCUCAGCACCA